This 523-nucleotide ribosomal RNA is filed under the name uncultured soil bacterium. Its description in RNAcentral is "bacterial SSU rRNA". It matches the Rfam family "Bacterial small subunit ribosomal RNA", at positions 26 to 517 of the family's 1533-position model. The record is from RNAcentral.
AGAGUGAACGCUGGCGGUAGGCCUAACACAUGCAAGUCGAACGGCAGCACGGUAAGAGCUUGCUCUUAUGGGUGGCGAGUGGCGGACGGGUGAGGAAUACAUCGGAAUCUACCUUUUGGUGGGGGAUAACGUAGGGAAACUUACGCUAAUACCGCAUACGCCCUUCGGGGGAAAGCCGGGGACCAGCAAUGGCCUGGCGCUGAUAGAUGAGCCGAUGUCGGAUUAGCUAGUUGGUGAGGUAAUGGCUCACCAAGGCGACGAUCCGUAGCUGGUCUGAGAGGAUGAUCAGCCACACUGGAACUGAGACACGGUCCAGACUCCUACGGGAGGCAGCAGUGGGGAAUAUUGGACAAUGGGCGCAAGCCUGAUCCAAGCCAUACCGCGUGGGUGAAAGAAGGCCUUCGGGUUGUAAAGCCCGUUUUAGUUGGGUAAAGAAAAGACAAUUCGGUUAAUUACCCGGUAGUUCCUGUACGGUACCCAAAGAAUAAAGACAACCGGCUAAACUUCGUAGUCCAGCAAGCCG